GUGUCAGCCGCCGCGGUAAUACGAAGGGGGCUAGCGUUGUUCGGAAUCACUGGGCGUAAAGGGCGCGUAGGCGGCCGAUCAAGUCGGGGGUGAAAGCCUGUGGCUCAACCACAGAAUUGCCUUCGAUACUGUUUGGCUUGAGACCGGAAGAGGUUAGUGGAACUGCGAGUGUAGAGGUGAAAUUCGUAGAUAUUCGCAAGAACACCAGUGGCGAAGGCGGCUGACUGGUCCGGUUCUGACGCUGAGGCGCGAAAGCGUGGGGAGCAAACAGGAUUAGAAACCCUCGUAGUCC
Molecule: ribosomal RNA, 292 nt
Filed under: uncultured bacterium
Lineage: Bacteria
Description: partial 16S ribosomal RNA
Rfam family: Bacterial small subunit ribosomal RNA
Source: RNAcentral